RNAcentral lists this ribosomal RNA (422 nucleotides) under uncultured bacterium. Its description in RNAcentral is "bacterial SSU rRNA". It matches the Rfam family "Bacterial small subunit ribosomal RNA", at positions 355 to 774 of the family's 1533-position model. The record is from RNAcentral.
UAAGGAAUAUUGGUCAAUGGACGCAAGUCUGAACCAGCCAUGCCGCGUGGAGGAUGAAGGCCCUCUGGGUUGUAAACUUCUUCUAUAUGGGACGAAAAAGGGUCUUUCUAGAUCAACUGACGGUACCAUGUGAAUAAGCACCGGCUAACUCCGUGCCAGCAGCCGCGGUAAUACGGAGGGUGCAAGCGUUAUCCGGAUUCACUGGGUUUAAAGGGUGCGUAGGUGGGUUGGUAAGUCAGUGGUGAAAUCGCCGAGCUUAACGUGGAAGCUGCCAUUGAUACUAUCAGUCUUGAAUAUUGUGGAGGUCAGCGGAAUAUGUCAUGUAGCGGUGAAAUGCUUAGAUAUGACAUAGAACACCGAUGGCGAAGGCAGCUUGCUACAGGAUUAUUGACACUGAGGCUCGAAAGGGUGGGGAUCAAACA